RNAcentral lists this transfer RNA (72 nucleotides) under Vulcanimicrobiota bacterium. RNAcentral's name for it is "tRNA-Gln". It matches the Rfam family "tRNA". From Rfam's summary of the family: Transfer RNA (tRNA) molecules are approximately 80 nucleotides in length. Their secondary structure includes four short double-helical elements and three loops (D, anti-codon, and T loops). Lineage: Bacteria; Bacillati; Vulcanimicrobiota. The record is from RNAcentral.
UGGGGUGUCGCCAAGCGGUAAGGCAGGGGACUUUGAAUCCUCCAUUCGUUGGUUCGAAUCCAGCCACCCCAG